This 491-nucleotide ribosomal RNA is filed under the name Acinetobacter baumannii. Its description in RNAcentral is "bacterial SSU rRNA". It matches the Rfam family "Bacterial small subunit ribosomal RNA", at positions 11 to 496 of the family's 1533-position model. Lineage: Bacteria; Pseudomonadati; Pseudomonadota; Gammaproteobacteria; Moraxellales; Moraxellaceae. The record is from RNAcentral.
GUUUGAUUCAUGCCUCAGAUUGAACGCUGGCGGCAGGCUUAACACAUGCAAGUCGAGCGGGGGAAGGUAGCUUGCUACCGGACCUAGCGGCGGACGGGUGAGUAAUGCUUAGGAAUCUGCCUAUUAGUGGGGGACAACAUCUCGAAAGGGAUGCUAAUACCGCAUACGUCCUACGGGAGAAAGCAGGGGAUCUUCGGACCUUGCGCUAAUAGAUGAGCCUAAGUCGGAUUAGCUAGUUGGUGGGGUAAAGGCCUACCAAGGCGACGAUCUGUAGCGGGUCUGAGAGGAUGAUCCGCCACACUGGGACUGAGACACGGCCCAGACUCCUACGGGAGGCAGCAGUGGGGAAUAUUGGACAAUGGGGGGAACCCUGAUCCAGCCAUGCCGCGUGUGUGAAGAAGGCCUUAUGGUUGUAAAGCACUUUAAGCGAGGAGGAGGCUACUUUAGUUAAUACCUAGAGAUAGUGGACGUACUCGCAGAAUAAGCACCGG